UACGUAGGGGGCUAGCGUUGUCCGGAUUUAUUGGGCGUAAAGAGCGUGUAGGCGGCCAGGUAGGUCUGCUGUGAAAACUCGAGGCUCAACCUCGAGACGUCGGCGGAAACCAUCUGGCUAGAGUCCGGAAGAGGAGAGUGGAAUUCCUGGUGUAGCGGUGAAAUGCGCAGAUAUCAGGAAGAACACCUGUGGCGAAGGCGGCUCUCUGGGACGGUACUGACGCUGAGACGCGAAAGCGUGGGGAGCGAACAGG
This 253-nucleotide ribosomal RNA is filed under the name uncultured bacterium. RNAcentral's name for it is "partial 16S ribosomal RNA". It matches the Rfam family "Bacterial small subunit ribosomal RNA", at positions 524 to 776 of the family's 1533-position model. The record is from RNAcentral.